AUGGAUCGCUGCUGGACGGCCAAAUGCCGCACUCGUCAUGGACUGCCGCACGACCCCCUCUGCAAGCUCUGCUGCCAAGAGCUCGAGUCCCUGGAUCACCUACUUGCCCGGUGCGUCUUCUCCAGAAUAACUUGGCACGAGAUCCUCUCAUGGUGCCGGCUGCCAAUCCCCACACCAAGCUCCACCGAUGCCUUCUUCGAUUGGUGGUGCAAGACCAACAACUCCUCCCCAGCUUCACUCCGCAAGGGGGUGAACUCGCUCAUCGUGCUCACCGCAUGGUCCAUCUGGAAACACCGGAACGCCGCUGUCUUCAACAAUGCCCGGCCUUCGAAUGAUGAUCUUGCUCGCACAAUCAAAGACGAGGCCCGCCUGUGGGCACGUGCUGGAGCAACUAGGCUAGCAUCCAUCAUUCAUGUAACCUGA
Molecule: ribosomal RNA, 423 nt
Filed under: Triticum aestivum (bread wheat)
Lineage: Eukaryota; Viridiplantae; Streptophyta; Magnoliopsida; Poales; Poaceae
Description: partial small subunit ribosomal RNA
Source: RNAcentral